This 1126-nucleotide ribosomal RNA is filed under the name Flavobacterium sp. AUG40. Its description in RNAcentral is "bacterial SSU rRNA". It matches the Rfam family "Bacterial small subunit ribosomal RNA", at positions 60 to 1194 of the family's 1533-position model. The record is from RNAcentral. Lineage: Bacteria; Pseudomonadati; Bacteroidota; Flavobacteriia; Flavobacteriales; Flavobacteriaceae.
AGUCGAGGGGUAUGGUUCUUCGGAACCAGAGACCGGCGCACGGGUGCGUAACGCGUAUGCAAUCUACCUUUCACAGAGGGAUAGCCCAGAGAAAUUUGGAUUAAUACCUCAUAGUAUAUAGACUUGGCAUCAAGAUUAUAUUAAAGAUUUAUCGGUGAAAGAUGAGCAUGCGUCCCAUUAGCUAGUUGGUAUGGUAACGGCAUACCAAGGCUACGAUGGGUAGGGGUCCUGAGAGGGAGAUCCCCCACACUGGUACUGAGACACGGACCAGACUCCUACGGGAGGCAGCAGUGAGGAAUAUUGGACAAUGGGCGCAAGCCUGAUCCAGCCAUGCCGCGUGCAGGAUGACGGUCCUAUGGAUUGUAAACUGCUUUUAUACAGGAAGAAACACUGGUUCGUGAACCAGCUUGACGGUACUGUAAGAAUAAGGAUCGGCUAACUCCGUGCCAGCAGCCGCGGUAAUACGGAGGAUCCAAGCGUUAUCCGGAAUCAUUGGGUUUAAAGGGUCCGUAGGCGGUCAGAUAAGUCAGUGGUGAAAGCCCAUCGCUCAACGGUGGAACGGCCAUUGAUACUGUCUGACUUGAAUUAUUAGGAAGUAACUAGAAUAUGUAGUGUAGCGGUGAAAUGCUUAGAGAUUACAUGGAAUACCAAUUGCGAAGGCAGGUUACUACUAAUAUAUUGACGCUGAUGGACGAAAGCGUGGGUAGCGAACAGGAUUAGAUACCCUGGUAGUCCACGCCGUAAACGAUGGAUACUAGCUGUUGGAAGCAAUUUCAGUGGCUAAGCGAAAGUGAUAAGUAUCCCACCUGGGGAGUACGAACGCAAGUUUGAAACUCAAAGGAAUUGACGGGGGCCCGCACAAGCGGUGGAGCAUGUGGUUUAAUUCGAUGAUACGCGAGGAACCUUACCAAGGCUUAAAUGUAGUUUGACCGGUUUGGAAACAGACUUUUCGCAAGACAAAUUACAAGGUGCUGCAUGGUUGUCGUCAGCUCGUGCCGUGAGGUGUCAGGUUAAGUCCUAUAACGAGCGCAACCCCUGUUGUUAGUUGCCACCGAGUCAUGUCGGGAACUCUAACAAGACUGCCAGUGUAAACUGUGAGGAAAGGUGGGGAUAACGUCCAAUCAUC